GUCGGAAGGUCUAAUGGGGGGAUGGGGUCCUCAUCACCAACGUUGUUUUUAGAACAGCCAAUCAGAGCGUCUCUCUGAGACCAAAGCGACAGCACACCCAAUGGAAGGAGAGCCGGAAUCGAGUCAGACGGGAUAACCACAUCUGUCUGUCGCUGUGUGUUAAUCUAUAGAGCCUUUAGAAAGCGAAGAUCUUCACAUCAUUAAGGAUUCAAUCCUUUAACAAUCAUAAUAUGAACCAUCAGAUCGAGCCUUUAAAGACUAUGACAGAUGUCAUGAUCUGUGCUUCAUGCUGUUAAACGGAUUAUGAAGACAGAAGCUAAGUACCUGCAGGAUGAAAGUUCAGCUUCAACAUGCAGGCUGCAUCUGGACACCAUUAAAGCGUCUGAACUUCACCUGAAAGGUAAAAUCUCACCUGAGACGUGGCGCAUGGUCUGUCUCUGUCCUGGUCUGGUCCUGAAUAAAGACGUGAGGGUACCUCUGCGUGGGUGACUUCAUUCCCGACAUCAGCACGCACUCAAGUUGAAAUUUACCCGGCCUCCACCUCCCCCUUCCUCUCAUCAGUGUUUGACUCAGAAACUCCUCCGCAGGGUUGAGGUGUGACUGAAAGGAGCUCGUCCAUUUUCAAUUCAAAUGAACGGGGCUCAGCAGUGAAAGACAGCGACAUCGUCUGGUGGCAGCAGUUGGUGCAGCAUGGACGCGCAGAAAGGUCUGACGUCUCUGCACGUCUCAGAACAAGGAGACGCCCAGAA
Molecule: long non-coding RNA, 749 nt
Organism: Girardinichthys multiradiatus
Lineage: Eukaryota; Metazoa; Chordata; Actinopteri; Cyprinodontiformes; Goodeidae
Exons: 3
Source: RefSeq, a predicted model, not a curated record